This is a long non-coding RNA of Quercus lobata, 1264 nucleotides long. RefSeq lists it as uncharacterized. NCBI's taxonomy places the organism in Eukaryota, Viridiplantae, Streptophyta, Magnoliopsida, Fagales, Fagaceae. The record is from RefSeq and is a predicted model, not a curated record. The transcript is spliced from 5 exons.
AUAGGGUUAAACUUAAAAACAUAAAAACUCAAAAUCCAUCACCAUUUCCCAAAAUACUAUCAACAGAGGAAGGAGGUAGAGAGAGAGAGAGAGAGAGAGAGAGAUUUGAUUCAGUUACCGGCGGUCUCUAAUUCGCUUGGUGCAGGUCGGGAACUACUUCGCUUCGCUUGUUAAAAAUGGGAGUUUCAUUUAUCACUUAUAUAUAAAUAAAAAUAAAAAUAUAUAGAUAUAGAUAGCCAGGUGGCGUUUUGGGAUUGGUUAUGGGGCGAAUUGGAUCCCGCCUUGCAUCAACUGAAUCGGAGACCGCGGUGAAGAAAGAUGUUUUACAGGUUGCAUGGAUCUCGCCUUUUUCCCUGGCCCAUUCUCAGAUCUCAGGUGCUGAAUGCAUUGGGGUUCCAGACCAUGUUGCUCACUAGUUUUUCUACACAUCUUUCAUAAUUCACCUUGGAAUGUUCAGUUAUGGUUGGUACCCGAAUGAACCUCUCCCAUAUGAGGCUGAAUGAUUCUGGGGAAAUGUUGAUAUGGCUGUUUAGAUGUUAUGCUGGAGGUCAUGAAACCUUUGUCAACCCAUGUGGUACAUUUUGAAUGUUUAGAUCUUAAAAGGGAUCACAUUUUCUAGCAAUUGAUGCAGAGAACAUUGUUUAGGUGGCAGAAUUGCUGAGAUCUUUAGUUUACAUUUCAGAAGGCGUGAUAUGUAUUUCACCAACCUUAGAACUGCUUGCUGAAACUUUUGCAUCAAUUAUAUCACACAAGGCUGAGCUCUGCUUGACCUAGUGAUGUAGGGCCCUUGUGAAGAAUUUCUUGUUUGUUCCUAGCCAGAGAGGAAAACUAGGAACGUGUGGCAUGGGUUAUGCCAAUGGAGAUUCUUUAUGACUUUCUUUUUCCACCACCACCUUCCAAGAAAUUACAAGUGAAAAAAUUAUAAGAGUAUCAAUAAUGCAGAUAUGAUGGGAGUGAAGAUGACUUGAACAUCAAGGAAGCCGAGUAUAUUAUUAUGUAGGAAAUGCUUUGGAGUCAAUGGUUCUUUUGGAUUGUGCAACCAAAGUCUAUGUUCUGCGUUGGAAAUUGUAGGGUUCCUAUACAUAUUAAUUCAAUAUUACAAUUCUACCCUUAACACUUUUCCUCAAGUUAAGGCAUAGUAUAAAGGGGAAAAUGGGCAUUUUCUCCUAAUUUACAAACUAUGCAGCAAAAUGCUAUUGUUUUAAAACUAUUUAGCAAAAUAUCACUGUUUUUUAAACUUGGUUUUAACAAAAUUGAGUUACAA